This 352-nucleotide unclassified non-coding RNA is filed under the name soil metagenome. RNAcentral describes it as "partial contains 5.8S ribosomal RNA, internal transcribed spacer 2, and large subunit ribosomal RNA". The stretch from base 1 to 120 matches the Rfam family "5.8S ribosomal RNA", at positions 35 to 154 of the family's 154-position model. The record is from RNAcentral.
GAUGAAGAACGUAGCGAAAUGCGAUAAGUAAUGUGAAUUGCAGAAUUCAGUGAAUCAUCGAAUCUUUGAACGCACAUUGCGCCCGCCAGUAUUCUGGCGGGCAUGCCUGUCCGAGCGUCAUUUCAACCCUCGAACCCCUCCGGGGGGUCGGCGUUGGGGAUCGGCCCUGCCUUGGCGGUGGCCGUCUCCGAAAUACAGUGGCGGUCUCGCCGCAGCCUCUCCUGCGCAGUAGUUUGCACACUCGCAUCGGGAGCGCGGCGCGUCCACAGCCGUUAAACACCCAACUUCUGAAAUGUUGACCUCGGAUCAGGUAGGAAUACCCGCUGAACUUAAGCAUAUCAAUAGCGGAGGA